Molecule: non-coding RNA, 28 nt
Filed under: Cricetulus griseus (Chinese hamster)
Lineage: Eukaryota; Metazoa; Chordata; Mammalia; Rodentia; Cricetidae
Also listed under: 1 other name
Source: RNAcentral
GCAUACUUACAAAGUAGAUCCUUGGGCA